GUUCCCCCCUCGCAAUCGCAUGCGGAUUAGAAGUGUUUGUUUUGAUGUCGGUUUAGUGCAUUAAAACCAAUUCAAUUAAUUAACAAUAUUUGAGGAAUCAUUCGUAUUUAAUGCUGAAAUUAUUUCAUACCAUCGACCUCAACAUUGUGGGGUUCAAUGCAGUGCCCGUGUCAAUGUACAAUUCGAAGGUUUGUGAGAAAAAAACCCUGGAAGGCCAUCAACAAAGCCAAUGGGGAUGAGAUGAGCCAACAGACAUAAAGUUCUCUCUUCUGGAUAAUCCUAAGUCAUUCAGGACUAGGCAGAAUUGAUGAACAUCACCCAAACACCAGUGCAAACCAUAAUUUGGGAUGAGGAACCUGAUUAUUGUUGAAUCAGUAUCUCAUGUUCAGGAUGAGGAGAGUCCAUUGAAAGCACCCAGGAAAUGGGAAUCUGGAAGAUUGAGCCAGGGGACGUUUCAGACAGGCAAAGGAAAAUGAUUUAUCUUGGCCUGCACUUCUGCACGAAUGGGAACCCAAUUGGACGAGAAUCCUUUGAACUUGUGAUGAAUACUACAGAGGAUAUAAUUUCGUCAAGUGUCAGGAAAUCGCAUUUAAUGGAUAUAUGUGCAAAGGGAAGAAUUCCAUGAGAAUAUUUUUUUUUUGUCAACAUCUUUGGGAUUGAACAACGAUUCUCUGAGGUAUUCACUCCACAUAAUUAUUGAUGACAUGUAUGUCGAAAGGACACUAGGGAAUUUUUUAAUAAGAAUGUGAAAUUUGGAGAAGUUUGUUUUAGUGAGUACCUUGAAAACAACUAUUUUGGAGUCAAAUGACGUGAGCCUGAAGAGGACUUCAAACCAGGGAAGCAAGCCCCCUGAGAGUAGCAGACGAUGCCACUCAAUAAAAUCGAAUAUGUUGGAGUUCGUUGCAACCAGUAUCACCCUCUGGAACAGUUUUAUUUCAAGUAAUCGUUGGACAAGCUUAUAUUGGAAUCCUUCUGGAAUAAAUACUGGGUUAACACUCUGAGUUCAUCGAGUCACCCCACAAACGCUGGCAACACUACUGGGCACAUCUUCGCUUUAAAUUCUGCACUAAAGAAAGAUGAUUUUUCUUUAUAAUUUUCAAUAAAAGUAAUUUUGAAAAAUAUUUUUGAAUUCAAUCUCUGAUGUACGUAGAUAAAAUUUCAACUGUUAGACCAUUUUAUUCAGUAGUAAGAAUAAAGGGAAUUUUUUUUUCUACAUUUCAAAAUGGAGAUUGGGAAUUUGUCAUAGGAUGGCAGAACUCUAAACCUAAACAGGCGUAUGCCCGAGGACGAUCAGCUUUGCUGUUUCUCCCCGCCUUCAUGCGUCAAGACUGUUUGUUUUUGCAUUUGUUCAAAAAUGAAAUGUACCAAAUCAAUAAAUUAUAAACACGUGAGGAGUCAUUUUUGUUUCAUGAGACAAUGAUUCGAUUCCAUCAAUCUGAAAAUUGUGCAAUGGUUUGAUGUGAGUGUCAGUCGGAUUGUCACAUUUGGAUCUUCCGAGAAAAAAUGUCCUGGAAAUCGAUGAACACUGUCAAUGGAAAUCAGACGAUCCGAGUAAUGAAUUUCCCCCUAACGGGUGAGGAAUCAUUGAAAUCCGAAAUGAGGUCUGCACAACCGCUGACAUGACCCCAAUGAGUGAUAGUCGUCAUGGGUCUGAAGGAAAGAAUUAGUACACCUAGGAAUAGCACAACUGGGAACGUAAGAAACAAUAACUUUAUACGAUGAACGUCAUUAUUUCAUCAUCCAGAUGUUUGUCACGUUAGUCUCUAUAGAUGAACCUCAUCAAGUCGUCAUCUACAGACUGCAAGAAAGGUCCAUGUGGAACUUAUGUCUCAUCUUCCAUAUUCUGUCUUCGGAAUUGGUUCCGAUUGCACUCGAAAGCUUUGGAGGGUAAAAAUAGGGGAAGAGGAGCUAAU
Molecule: long non-coding RNA, 1913 nt
Organism: Diachasma alloeum
Lineage: Eukaryota; Metazoa; Arthropoda; Insecta; Hymenoptera; Braconidae
Exons: 3
Source: RefSeq, a predicted model, not a curated record